This is a long non-coding RNA of Mytilus trossulus (common blue mussel), 219 nucleotides long. RefSeq lists it as uncharacterized. The record is from RefSeq and is a predicted model, not a curated record. The transcript has 3 exons. Lineage: Eukaryota; Metazoa; Mollusca; Bivalvia; Mytilida; Mytilidae.
GGAACUACUAAAGCCAUUCACGUGCCUUCUUCAACGGAAAUGGCUACCACCAGAAUCCCAGAUUUGACAACAACUUUUAUGUUGACUGACAGUUCAACCAUAUCGAGAGAGGAGAUACAAAAAGCAGAACAAGCUUCUAAAGGCCUCAUAAUUGGUGGCACCGUAGGUUCCAUCGCAUUUGUUGCAAUCUUCGUGGUAUUGGCAGUUUUGUUUAAAAGG